AUACGGCGGAUCCGAGCGUUAUCCGGAUUUAUUGGGUUUAAAGGGUGCGCAGGAGGCCAUUUAAGUCAGCGGUUAAAUCGUGGGGCUCAACCCCAUUCUGCCGUUGAUACUGGGUGGCUUGAUUGCGGUCGAGGUUGGCGGAAUUCGUUGUGUAGCGGUGAAAUGCAUAGAUAUGACGAAGAACACCGAUUGCGUAGGCAGCUGACCAGACCGCAAAUGACGCUCAUGCACGAAAGUGCGGGGAUCGAACAGGAUGAGAUACCCUGGUAGUCCGAACAGUAAACUAUGAAUACUUGUUUUCGGCGAUAUAAUGUCGGAGGCAAAGCGAAAGCGAUAAGUAUUCCACCUGGGGAGUACGCCGGCAACGGUGAAACUUAAAUGAAUUGGCGGGG
RNAcentral lists this ribosomal RNA (392 nucleotides) under uncultured bacterium. RNAcentral's name for it is "partial 16S ribosomal RNA". It matches the Rfam family "Bacterial small subunit ribosomal RNA", at positions 523 to 918 of the family's 1533-position model. The record is from RNAcentral.